AUUUAAAUAGUUUAAAAAAAAUAUUGAUUUGUGGAAUCAGGGAUAUAUUAUUGUAUUUUAAAUA
RNAcentral lists this transfer RNA (64 nucleotides) under Schizotus pectinicornis. Its description in RNAcentral is "tRNA-His". The record is from RNAcentral. Lineage: Eukaryota; Metazoa; Arthropoda; Insecta; Coleoptera; Pyrochroidae.